AUUGAACGCUGGCGGCAUGCCUUACACAUGCAAGUCGAACGGCAGCGGACCUUCGGGUGCCGGCGAGUGGCGAACGGGUGAGCAAUAUAUUGGAACGUACCUUUCAGUGGGGGAUAACGUAGCGAAAGUUACGCUAAUACCGCAUAUUCUGUGAGCAGGAAAGCAGGGGAUCGCAAGACCUUGCGCUGAUUGAGCGGCCGAUAUCAGAUUAGCUAGUUGGUGAGGUAAAGGCUCACCAAGGCGACGAUCUGUAGCGGGUCUGAGAGGAUGAUCCGCCACACUGGAACUGAGACACGGUCCAGACUCCUACGGAGGCAGCAGUGGGGAAUUUUGGACAAUGGGCGCAAGCCUGAUCCAGCCAUGCCGCGUGAGUGAAGAAGGCCUCGGUUGUUAAG
Molecule: ribosomal RNA, 395 nt
Filed under: uncultured bacterium
Lineage: Bacteria
Description: bacterial SSU rRNA
Rfam family: Bacterial small subunit ribosomal RNA
Source: RNAcentral